CAGGACGAACGCUGGCGGCACGCCUAACACAUGCAAGUCGAACGGAGAUUGAGAGCUUGCUCUUAAAUCUUAGUGGCGGACGGGUGAGUAACACGUGAGCAACCUGCCUCUGAGAGAGGGAUAGCUUCUGGAAACGGAUGGUAAUACCUCAUAACAUUACAUGACCGCAUGAUCGUGUAAUCAAAGAUUUAUCACUCAGAGAUGGGCUCGCGUCUGAUUAGCUAGUUGGUGAGGUAACGGCCCACCAAGGCGACGAUCAGUAGCCGGACUGAGAGGUUGAACGGCCACAUUGGGACUGAGACACGGCCCAGACUCCUACGGGAGGCAGCAGUAGGGAAUUUUGCGCAAUGGGGGAAACCCUGACGCAAGCAACGCCGCGUGAUUGAAUAAGCCCUUCGGGGUGUAAAGAUCUGUCAGUGGGGACGAAACUUGACGGUACCCACAGAGGAAGCAUCGGCUAACUCCGUGCCAGCCGCUGC
This 479-nucleotide ribosomal RNA is filed under the name uncultured bacterium. RNAcentral's name for it is "bacterial SSU rRNA". It matches the Rfam family "Bacterial small subunit ribosomal RNA", at positions 25 to 518 of the family's 1533-position model. The record is from RNAcentral.